This 530-nucleotide long non-coding RNA is filed under the name Homo sapiens (human). RNAcentral describes it as "non-protein coding lnc-FGF9-13:3". The record is from RNAcentral. Lineage: Eukaryota; Metazoa; Chordata; Mammalia; Primates; Hominidae.
AAAGAGGAGGAACCUUUUCUGGUCUGAUUGCUGUUGAAAGGAAACAGCUUUCUUUUAAUUUGACUGAGGAUCAGGUAGGCCUGAGCCUGUUUGCAUGGGUGCUCAGAUUCAGUGUGAAGCCUUAGUGAGUGUCUUUCUCUUUCUGAUGGGUAAGUUCGAGGCAGACACUUCACUCCUGGCUUCUAUCCUAACCUCCAGCUCAAAACCCUUUGCAUCUUACCCUCUGUAAUGGAUAGGCCAGCCAGGGAUUCUGACUUCUGUACAUUCUGCCACUUUGAUCAGCUAAACUUUAAAGGGUGAUUUCUUCAAAAGAUGUUGAAAGCUGCCUUAAGUUGAGUGACUUCAUAGCAAAGACUAAGCUGCUAUUUCUUACCAAAUUUCCUCUUCAAGGAGCAUAUGCAACUCUUCAAAACUUUUCCUUAUUCAAAUUGUCACACCAAACCAGAAGAUCACCCCAUUACAAAAACAGAGCCCAUCGCAAUUACCAUCUCCUUUAUAAAAUGAAAAAUUAUGCUCAGACUAUUUCUCCA